This 165-nucleotide non-coding RNA is filed under the name Oreochromis niloticus (Nile tilapia). RNAcentral's name for it is "Eukaryotic large subunit ribosomal RNA". It matches the Rfam family "Eukaryotic large subunit ribosomal RNA", at positions 2638 to 2793 of the family's 3401-position model. The record is from Rfam by way of RNAcentral. Lineage: Eukaryota; Metazoa; Chordata; Actinopteri; Cichliformes; Cichlidae.
UUUGUCGUGUCGUCUAAAUGCACCUGCAAGUGUCCUAAGGCGAGCUCAGGGAGGACAGAAACCUUCGGUGGAGCUGAAGGGCAAAAGCUUGUUUGAUCUUGAUGUUCAGUAUAAAUACUGGCUGUGAAAGCGAGGCCUCUCAAUCCUUCUGACUUUAAGCAGGUG